Salvia splendens (bonfire salvia) is the source of this 1691-nucleotide RNA transcript. It is a transcript of the gene named putative B3 domain-containing protein Os03g0621600, with no coding region annotated. The record is from RefSeq and is a predicted model, not a curated record. The transcript has 6 exons. NCBI's taxonomy places the organism in Eukaryota, Viridiplantae, Streptophyta, Magnoliopsida, Lamiales, Lamiaceae.
AAAUCCUUUUCACCUACCAAUCCAUAAAGGCAACAACCACUACACCUACACAAAAUCAAUUACUCGUGCAAGUUUUCUCUCAAAUCUCAAACCAAUUCCAUCUUCCAAACACUCUAUCUGUUAACAAAUGGCUAAAUCAACAGACAACUCAUACAUGGAGGGGGAUGUGAUUCCAGAAUACUGCUCUUACAUGGAUGAGGACGACGCUCCGGAGUUCUUCACAGUAUUAAUCAUUGAAGAACAAUCGAAGAUGAUCUUUCCAAGAAGCUUCCAAACACAAUAUUCAGUUAAGCUCGGACCAAUUUGCACACUUGAAGACAAAUCCAGCAAAAAAAUUUGGGAAACAAAAGUCAAAACACUUUCAGAUGGAAGAAUAUGCUUGAAACAUGGUUGGGAGCAAUUCCACAAGGAUCACAACUUGAGAGCUGGAGACUUCUUGACUUUCCAUAUGAUUUCACCCAAUCAUUUCUUUGUGAAAAUGUAUGAUGCUACGGGAUGUGCUAAGGAAAUCCAACAACAAUCGGGUUCAUUUGGCCAAGAAACCGACGACGCAUCGUCUUCACAACCUAUUGCUUCACCUUCUUUCAAAUCAGCCAUGACAAUAUCAAACUGAAAAAGUCUUCUCAUAUCAAUCCAUUUUUGGAGGACACAUGUGAUAGACAAAGAUAUUGAAGUGGCAGUUUUGUAAUUCCAAGGGAAAACAUGGCAAACAAUAUUGAAGAAGGCUGAAGAUAGGGUGAGAAUCUCCACAGGAUGGUCAAGUUUCUACAAAGAAUGCUCUUUGUGUGAUGGAAUGCAAUUGAAGUUUGAGAUGAUAAGCAGCACCCCUACCAUCAAAUUCAAAGUUACUGUGGCCGAGGGGAUAAUUUGCUCGGAGCGGAGUAAAACCCGUGCAAAUACUUUAAGUGAGAACUGAGCUAGCCAGGUUGAACGUCAAGAGGAAGGAGUAUUGAUCGGAGCCGAUGUUAUUAAUUAAUCAAGUGGAUCUUUCGACGAUUCGUGUCUUCAUACACGAAGUCGUUUAGUAAGGAAUUACUCCGCUGUACUUUUGUUAAAUGGGAAUUUCAAAGUCUGACCAUCGAACUCUGAUUUAGUUGAUGAGAUGAUUAUUCUAUUUGUGAGACCAUGUAAUUGAAUAAUUGGCUUCUAUUUCAUGGUAUCAAUCGAUUUGGCCUUUUCGGCAAGUUCCUUGAGUUCUACCAAUUUUCUUUAUCUGUUUCUUUAAUCCCUCUUAUUAUUCGCGGAUUAGCCGUUUUCGCUAUCCUUAGCAAAAUGUAGUCGUGACAGGGUGGUAUCAGAGCCUCAGUUUCUUUCCUGCUCUGAGAUCCAAACAUUUCUUCAGUCAAGAUCUAGACUUGUUCACUAGAUCAUUCCAAGUAAUCGACUCGAUCAUCACUCCAAGACGUUCAACCAAUCAAUUUUUUUUUUAUAUUUGAAUUGCCUUCUCUAUUACUUUUCAAAUUUGAAUUAAAAAAUGCACUAAUUAUAUUUUAUGGUUCCAAAAAUGUAAAAAAUUUAUACAUAAAUCAUUAAUAUAUGAUCACAAUCUUAUGCAUGUCCCACGUAGUAAGAAUGCGCCCAUAAGCUUUAAUUUAAUGAAUAAAUAAACCAUUUUUUAAGUGACUCGGGCCUUUUAAAUAAAACCCCGUGUUCACUCAACUGUGGCUGACAAAUUUAAAUGGAACUUAUAU